UAGCCAGUUGAUAUGUGGUGGGUUUGGUGGAUGGAUGAGUGGUAUAAUCGCAGACGGUUUGAAUGAACGGCGUAGUGGUGCCUCGGUGCUGCUGCGUGUUAUCGUGCUUUCGCCGUUGUAAACGAGAGACAGUGAAUAGCUGGGAGGUGCAGUAACUCCUCCUUUCUUUGGCUACUUGGCGGACUAUGGUGGUGAAAAUGACUGUGCAAGGCACCGGGGUUAACCGCCUCAGUGCUGUUGUUUUUGUAGCAGCAGCAAUAUGGUAUCCGGCACGCACGUUACAGGUGUUGUGGUUGUUGUUUCGGUAAUGCGUGGCUGUCUGUGGGUGUUGGAUCUGACUGUCAGGUUGCCUGCAAAAAGGUAGGCCUGGCAGUGGUUGCAGACGCCUUGCAGUGUGCAGCCUACGCUGCUAUCGAAGUGCCUGUGGUACUGGGGGCGAAAUAGUCAGUGGUGCUGUGGUAGACGAGCUACCCGACCCGUCUUGAAACACGGACCAAGGAGUUUAACAUGUAUGCGAGUCAAAGGGUCCUACGAAACCCCUAGGCGCAGUGAAAGUGAAGUUCGUGUUGCAUCAUCAGUGCGCGCGCGCACACAUGCAGCAAUGCGUGUGUGUGGCAGACAUGCAAGGCAAUACGA
Molecule: ribosomal RNA, 636 nt
Filed under: Paradilepis sp. ECR-2020
Lineage: Eukaryota; Metazoa; Platyhelminthes; Cestoda; Cyclophyllidea; Gryporhynchidae
Description: partial large subunit ribosomal RNA
Source: RNAcentral